Molecule: microRNA precursor, 209 nt
Filed under: Oryza glumipatula
Lineage: Eukaryota; Viridiplantae; Streptophyta; Magnoliopsida; Poales; Poaceae
Description: MIR812 microRNA precursor family
Rfam family: MIR812 microRNA precursor family
Source: Rfam by way of RNAcentral
AAUAAGUACAGCCAUGGGAUAUUCGUGCUCAACAUUUGACCGUUCGUCUUAUUUGAAAAAUUUAUGAAAAAUUUAAAAAUAUUUAGUCACACAUAAAGUACUAUUCAUGUUUUAUCAUCUAAUAAUAAUAAAAAUACUAAUCAUAAAAAAUUUUCAAAUAAGACGAACGGUCAAACGUUGAACGUGAAUAGUGCAAAACUACACUUAUU